RNAcentral lists this ribosomal RNA (1306 nucleotides) under uncultured bacterium. RNAcentral's name for it is "bacterial SSU rRNA". It matches the Rfam family "Bacterial small subunit ribosomal RNA", at positions 28 to 1381 of the family's 1533-position model. The record is from RNAcentral.
AACGUACGCUGGCGGCACGCCUAACACAUGCAAGUCGAACGAAGUAGCAAUACUUAGUGGCAGACGGGUGAGUAACAUGUAGGUAUCUGCCCUUUGGCCUGGAAUAACACGAGGAAACUUGUGCUAAUACCGGAUAAGUCUUUACGGAGAAAGCUUUAUGCACCAUUGGAUGAGCCUGCACUUGAUUAGUUUGUUGGUGGGGUAAUGGCCUACCAAGACUGUGAUCAAUAGCUGAUUUGAGAGGAUGAUCAGCCACAUUGGGACUGAGACACGGCCCAAACUCCUACGGGAGGCAGCAGUGGGGAAUCUUGCACAAUGGAGGAAACUCUGAUGCAGCGAUGCCGCGUGAGUGAAGAAGGCCUUUGGGUUGUAAAGCUCUUUCGUCGGGGAAGAAAAUGACUGUACCCGAAUAAGAAGGUCCGGCUAACUUCGUGCCAGCAGCCGCGGUAAUACGAAGGGACCUAGCGUAGUUCGGAAUUACUGGGCUUAAAGAGUUCGUAGGUGGUUGAAAUAGUUGGUGGUGAAAUCCCAGAGCUUAACUCUGGAACUGCCAUCAAAACUUUUCAGCUAGAGUAUGAUAGAGGAAAGCAGAAUUUCUAGUGUAGAGGUGAAAUUCGUAGAUAUUAGAAAGAAUACCAAUUGCGAAGGCAGCUUUCUGGAUCAUUACUGACACUGAGGAACGAAAGCAUGGGUAGCGAAGAGGAUUAGAUACCCUCGUAGUCCAUGCCGUAAACGAUGUGUGUUAGACGUUGGAAAUUUAUUUUCAGUGUCGCAGAGAAACCGAUAAACACACCGCCUGGGGAGUACGACCGCAAGGUUAAAACUCAAAUGAAUUGACGGGGACCCGCACAAGUAGUGGAGCAUGUGGUUUAAUUCGAAGAUACGCGCAGAACCUUACCAACACUUGACAUGUUCGUCGCGACUCUAAGAGAUUAGAGUUUUCGGUUCGGCCGGACGAAACACAGGUGCUGCAUGGCUGUCGUCAGCUCGUGUCGUGAGAUGUUGGGUUAAGUCCCGCAACGAGCGCAACCCUCACUUUUAGUUGCCAUCAUUAAGUUGGGCACUCUGAAAGAACUGCCAGUGAUAAGCUGGAGGAAGGUGAGGAUGACGUCAAGUCCUCAUGGCCCUUACGUGUUGGGCUACACACGUGCUACAAUGGUAUCUACAACAGGAAGCAAGACUGCGAAGUUAAGCAAAUCCCUAAAAGAUACCUCAGUUCGGAUUGCACUCUGCAACUCGAGUGCAUGAAGCUGGAAUUACUAGUAAUCGUGGAUCAGCGUGCCACGGUGAAUGCGUUCCCGGGUCU